This 29-nucleotide non-coding RNA is filed under the name Bombyx mori (domestic silkworm). Lineage: Eukaryota; Metazoa; Arthropoda; Insecta; Lepidoptera; Bombycidae. The record is from RNAcentral.
UGAAUAUGUAGAUAAGGGUAUCAUCUCAC